This is a non-coding RNA of Malus domestica (apple), 2408 nucleotides long. The record is from RefSeq and is a predicted model, not a curated record. NCBI's taxonomy places the organism in Eukaryota, Viridiplantae, Streptophyta, Magnoliopsida, Rosales, Rosaceae.
CUCUCGGCUUCUGUACAGUGAAAUGGCUGUUUGUCCCUUUUGAUUCAACGCGUCCAUCAUCCAUGGAUGUUUUGGCUUUAGUUAUUCUGGAUCUUUCUUUUGCUUUCGGCUAUUCUCUCUCGCAUGUCUCCAGUUGCUUUGUUUCUCGCCGUCCGUUUUUCCCCGCCUUCGCUUCUGUUUUCUUCAUCGUGUUGCUUCGUUGUUCAAAACGUCAACCAUUUUGGGUUCGAUUCCAAUAAUUUUUUGGGUUUUUCGUUCAUUGAAUCCGGGUUUUCCAAAAAUUUUGUGCUCAUCUUGGGUUCGCUUCGAACUUGGUUGCAACCGAUCUAAUCCGGCGUUUCCAGAUUCGGGAAACAGUCCCUUUCAGAUUUUUGGAUUUUCGAUUCUGAUUCUUGGAACUCUCUGUGCUAAAGAUAAUGGUGUGGACUAUGAAGGAAGCUUGCUUUGUGUUGGAAGUACGUUGAUGUCUUGGGCUCUCAUCGAAAUCUCUGAUAUCACUCCUGAUAGUUUGGUAGAAAGAAAACGCCAGAGCCACAGCAGAACGGGCAGUCCACUGCUGGAGCUGUGAGUAAUGGGAGUAGUAAUUCUCGUGUCACAGCAAAUGGGAAUAUGUGAAGAGAAGACUGACUUGGUCAUCUAUGAGCAAUUUCAAAACCAGGUUGUGGAUUUAAUCUUAUCAUAUGCUACAUUGCAUGGAAGAAUCAGAUAUGCCUAUUCAUCUGCAAGGUGAUUGUUUUACACCUUAAAAUACCGUGUGAAUUUAUUUCACUAACAUUGCAUUGGUUUUUUAAUUUGAUAUGUUGUUUUGGUGUUUGAAAAUCAAAGAACUUUUAAAUAUAUGCAAAUUUGGUUGACAAUUAAGUGCAAUUCAUUGUGGUCAAGGCAUUGGUUUGUGGACAGUUGGAAUUCAUUUUGCUAAAAUAAGAUAAAUCUCUUUUUGCAGCCUGCAAUUGGCUUUCAAUUAGAGAACUGUACAAGGUUAAUUUAUUUUUUUUGUUCUUUGACCAAAGCUUUAAGAGCUUUGUAUUAACAGAGUCCUAAGGGAUUCCUUGGAUUAUUUUGCUUGAGAUGAGCUGUAUUUUGGAAAUUCUAUGAAUAUAAUUGACAUGGAUUCUUGAAUUUAUGAGUGUUCAAUUAGGUUCUACUGAAUUAACUGUUUUUGAGAAUUUGUCUUUGUCUUUAUUUUUUUGAGAUUUGAUGGUGUUUUUCUUUAGCCUGAAUACCUUCGAUGGUUCCUAGAUUAUAUCUCCAACAUUCCUUAGAAGAAGAUGGUUGCUACUGUGUUGCAUUCUACGUCCUUGGGCUGAAACCAUAGAUAUAUGGAACGUUUGCAAAUUCACUUCAUCACACAUACAUUAAAUGAUUGCUAAGAACUCUUCCUCUGCUGCCAUUAUUGGGCCUUCUAGGACAUUGUCUUCGGCGAUGUAUGUCGAGUCCAAGAGGGUGUGGGUGUGGACGGAGAUUAAAUAGGUUAUGAUGGCCACCAUGAAAGAGGUUGGAAGACCUUGGUCUUAGGUUCUAAAAGCCAUGAGCUUGCUGAUGAGUGGUCCCGGCAUGUCUCAGCAACCAUCAAUACAGAAUGCAACACCAAAAGAUUUACAGGGAUAUAAAUGGAGAUUUUGCCAUAUAACUCAAGGUGAAGCUGAGUCUGGGUUGGAACGGCUUCAUCAAUGUGCAGAUAAAGAGCUACAAGUUUACCUCAAUGAUAAGGAAUUUCAAUGAGUUUAGCACAAAACUUGCUCGAUUGACCAGGUUAUGUUCUACUAAAGAUAUUACACUACUUUUCUGAUUGGAUAAGUUGACUCGGGUCACAAUGAUAUAGCUUUUCAGUUUAUUAAUACUAACAUAUUAGUUUUGCUAAGUGGGAAUGCCAUAAUAUAAAUUUUAUAGAAAUGAUGAAUGGGCCAAUUUGAAAUACCAAAUUUCAGCUGAUGAAAGAACUCUUAUAUGACUGCCACUGCAUAUACUCAUCUUUUAUUUUAUUGGGUUUUAUUUAUAUAUCAUUUUUUUGGGUAAAAUGCAAUGUUGGUUUCGCAAAGAACUAACCUUUAUCUUAUCUACCGCUCUAUACGCAUGUAGUUUUCUCUUUUUUGGUACUCGAGUAUUUGGUUGAUUUAUUUAACAAUCUUUUGGAAUAUAGAGAUUUUUUGCACCAAUGUCUUAUUCCUGGAUUUCCUGAUGAUUUAGCAUUGAGAUGUUAGGCAAAGGUGUCUCAUGGGAAUCACAGAUUGCUCAAAACUAUCUCAAAGAAGUGGAGAGAUUUGUUACUAGCUCAGACUAUGCCAACUAUGAAGCUAUAGAAAAAUGGUGCGGAAAUUGGUAUAAUCCAAUAGCUAAUAAGUGUGCUCCUAUGUUCGACACUUAAAAUAUGUCUAGAACUGAUGUUACCAUUACCACUUUCAUUUUUA